RNAcentral lists this small nucleolar RNA (85 nucleotides) under Neurospora crassa. RNAcentral's name for it is "box C/D snoRNA CD28". Lineage: Eukaryota; Fungi; Ascomycota; Sordariomycetes; Sordariales; Sordariaceae. The record is from RNAcentral.
CAAUAUGAUGAUUUCUCGAAAGAGAGGCUGUUUAUGAUCAACAAUGAUUACCAAAAUACACCUAUACAUUGUUCUAUUUCUGAUC